GACGAACGCUGGCGGCGUGCUUAACACAUGCAAGUCGAGCGGAAAGGCUCCUUCGGGGGUACUCGAGCGGCGAACGGGUGAGUAACACGUGAGUAAUCUGCCCUUCACUUGGGGAUAACUACCGGAAACGGUGGCUAAUACCCGAUACGACAACUCCACGCAUGUGGUGGUUGUGGAAAGUUUUUUCGGUGGAGGAUGUGCUCGCGGCCUAUCAGCUUGUUGGUGGGGUAAUGGCCUACCAAGGCUUCGACGGGUAGCCGGCCUGAGAGGGUGACCGGCCACACUGGGACUGAGACACGGCCCAGACUCCUACGGGAGGCAGCAGUGGGGAAUAUUGGACAAUGGGCGAAAGCCUGAUCCAGCAACGCCGCGUGAGGGAUGACGGCCUUCGGGUUGUAAACCUCUUUCAGCGGGGACGAAGCGCGGGUAAUGGUGGUGACGGUACCCGCAGAAGAAGCACCGGGCCACUACGUGGCAGCAGCCGCGGUAAUACGUAGGGUGCGAGCGUUGUCCCGAAAUUAUGGGCGUAAAGGGCUCGUAGCGGUUUGUCGCGUCGGGAGUGAAAACACCGGGCUUAACUCGGUGCUUGCUUUCGAUACGGGCAGACUAGAGGCAUGCAGGGGAGAACGGAAUUCCUGGUGUAGCGGUGAAAUGCGCAGAUAUCAGGAGGAACACCGGUGGCGAAGGCGGUUCUCUGGGCAUGUCCUGACGCUGAGGAGCGAAAGUGUGGGGAGCGAACAGGAUUAGAUACCCUGGUAGUCCACACCGUAAACGUUGGGCGCUAGGUGUGGGGCCUAUUCCAUGGGUUCCGUGCCGCAGCUAACGCAUUAAGCGCCCCGCCUGGGGAGUACGGCCGCAAGGCUAAAACUCAAAGGAAUUGACGGGGGCCCGCACAAGCGGCGGAGCAUGCGGAUUAAUUCGAUGCAACGCGAAGAACCUUACCUGGGUUUGACAUACACCGGAAAGCCUUAGAGAUAAGGCCCCUUUUGUCGGUGUACAGGUGGUGCAUGGCUGUCGUCAGCUCGUGUCGUGAGAUGUUGGGUUAAGUCCCACAACGAGCGCAACCCUCGUCCUAUGUUGCCAGCACGUCAUGGUGGGGACUCAUAGGAGACUGCCGGGGUCAACUCGGAGGAAGGUGGGGAUGACGUCAAGUCAUCAUGCCCCUUAUGUCCAGGGCUUCACGCAUGCUACAAUGGCCGGUACAAAGGGCUGCGAUGCUGCAAGGCGGAGCGAAUCCCAAAAAGCCGGUCUCAGUUCGGAUUGGGGUCUGCAACUCGACCCCAUGAAGUCGGAGUCGCUAGUAAUCGCAGAUCAGCAACGCUGCGGUGAAUACGUUCCCGGGCCU
This 1345-nucleotide ribosomal RNA is filed under the name uncultured bacterium. RNAcentral describes it as "bacterial SSU rRNA". It matches the Rfam family "Bacterial small subunit ribosomal RNA", at positions 28 to 1381 of the family's 1533-position model. The record is from RNAcentral.